AGUGAACGCUGGCGGUAGGCCCAACACAUGCAAGUCGAACGGCAGCACAGGAGAGCUUGCUCUCUGGGUGGCGAGUGGCGGACGGGUGAGGAAUACAUCGGAAUCUACUCUGUCGUGGGGGAUAACGUAGGGAAACUUACGCUAAUACCGCAUACGACCUACGGGUGAAAGCAGGGGAUCUUCGGACCUUGCGCGAUUGAAUGAGCCGAUGUCGGAUUAGCUAGUUGGCGGGGUAAAGGCCCACCAAGGCGACGAUCCGUAGCUGGUCUGAGGGGAUGAUCAGCCACACUGGAACUGAGACACGGUCCAGGCUCCUACGGGAGGCAGCAGUGGGGAAUAUUGGACAAUGGGCGCAAGCCUGAUCCAGCCAUACCGCGUGGGAGAAGAAGGCCUUCGGGUUGUAAAGCCCUUUUGUUGGGAAAGAAAUCCAGCUGGCUAAUACCCGGUUGGGAUGACGGUACCCAAAGAAUAAGCACCGGCUAACUUCGUGCCAGCAGCCGCCGUAA
This 506-nucleotide ribosomal RNA is filed under the name uncultured bacterium. RNAcentral's name for it is "partial 16S ribosomal RNA". It matches the Rfam family "Bacterial small subunit ribosomal RNA", at positions 29 to 523 of the family's 1533-position model. The record is from RNAcentral.